UACAGAGAGUGCAAGCGUUAAUCGGAAUUACUGGGCGUAAAGCGCACGUAGGUGGAUAUUUUAGUCGGAUGUGAAAGCCCUGGGCUUAACCUAGGAAUUGCACCCGAUACUGAAUAUCUAGAGUAUGGUAGAGGGAAGUGGAAUUUCCGGUGUAGCGGUGAAAUGCGUAGAUAUCGGAAAGAACAUCAGUGGCGAAGGCGGCUUCCUGGACUAAUACUGACACUGAGGUGCGAAAGCGUGGGGAGCAAACAGG
Molecule: unclassified non-coding RNA, 253 nt
Filed under: uncultured Gammaproteobacteria bacterium
Lineage: Bacteria; Pseudomonadati; Pseudomonadota; Gammaproteobacteria
Description: contains 16S-23S intergenic spacer region
Rfam family: Bacterial small subunit ribosomal RNA
Source: RNAcentral